This 77-nucleotide transfer RNA is filed under the name Oscillospiraceae bacterium. RNAcentral's name for it is "tRNA-Met". It matches the Rfam family "tRNA". Rfam says of the family: Transfer RNA (tRNA) molecules are approximately 80 nucleotides in length. The record is from RNAcentral. Lineage: Bacteria; Bacillati; Bacillota; Clostridia; Eubacteriales; Oscillospiraceae.
GGCGGAGUAGCUCAGCUGGCUAGAGCAUCCGGUUCAUACCCGGCAGGUCGUAGGUUCAAAUCCUAUCUCCGCCACCA